GGCUCGACCAAUCCUCACACCUCUGCUUCCCAAGUAGCUAGGACUACAGGUGCGUACCACCAUGCCUAGCUAAUUUUUAAAUGUUUUUGUAGAGAUAGAGUCUUGCUGUGUUGCUCAGGCUGGUCUCACUCCCCUGGCCUGCCCGUGAUCCUCUUCCACCUCCUCAAGCAUUGGGAUUACAGGUGUGUGCCCCUGAAACAGCCAGGUGGAAGGGUUUCGCGGAGAAUUUCCCACCCGCCUGCCCACUGAGGUGUAGCCUCAGGAAGUUCAGCAGCGAGGAGUCUGGCCCCUCCUCUUCCUGUGUGGAACCUGGGAUUGCAAAGGCCAGCGGGAAGCCUCUAGCAGGUGGCUCUGGCCUGGCAGCGGAUCCCUGUUUCCCCCACCUUUUUCCUCUUUUCACCCAAUAAAACCCUGAUUUAUUCACCCUUUAAACCGUCUCCAAGGGUAAAUUUUCCUGGCCAUGGGAUAGAAAAGAACCGUCUUAGCUGAACUAAGGAAAACUCCUGCAUCAUUAUUGGCGCACAACGUGGGAGCUCGAGAAGAGAUAAGAAAUACUGCCAAGGUUAAUGGUGGAGAGAAAAGGAGGUCCCUGUGAUAUUCCUUGGCUUCUCCCCUCGCUUUCAGGCCUGAAAACAACUAAUUCAGCAAAAGAAUGCAUCUGUCUGCUAAUUCACUCUGAAAAAGAAGUUGCAAGUUAAAAAAGGUCUUUUAUGCUGACUGACUGUGCCAGGAACUGCAUGGUAACCUCUGUGACCUGCACGUACACCUCCAGAUGUGUUCCUGGAACUAGAAAGUCUGAAGUAACUGGAAAACCUGGAGACAUUCUUCUGUUGUUCUCUAAUCUCGCCUUAAUGGGUAAGGCAACUGGACUUUGUAAUCAGCCUUGCUCAACUGAUAGGUCAACCUCAUGACUCCAUACCCUAUGACCCCCUCCCCGCUUGCAAAAACCACCCUGAACUGUAACUUCUGUAACUUUCCUGCCCACCCCAAACCUAUAAAACCAAUUCCUGUCCCACCACCCACUAACUCUUUUUUCGGACCCAGCCUGCCCACACCCAGGUGAAUAAAGAACCAUGUCGCUCAUACAAGGCUUGUUUGGGCGGGGGGUCUCUUCAUUCAGAGUGCAAUUUAACAUUUGAUGCUGAAACCUGAAUCAGGGGUAUUCCUAUGGGGAGACUAGCCCCCCGUCCCCAUUCUCCCUCUCUGAAGAGCCUUACCUGCGAUCUCCGUGCAUCAGACCAGCCUGACAACCCUUUUGCCACCUUCAGAUUGGGGUCCUCACUGAAAGUCAGACUGUCCAACUCAUGUGGCAACUCCCAGACCAAAUCCUUCCCAGAUCUCCUCAGCUUGGCAGCUGAAGACUGACCCUACCAGAACAUCUCAGAGGCCCCCUGGACCAUCACAGACGCCGAGCUUCAGGUAACUUUUAUGAUGGAGGUUAAGUCCAUCCCCUUCGUAAUCAAUAUGGAGGCCACUCAUUUCAUGCUGCCUUCUUUUCAUGACUCUGUCUCCUUGGCCAUUAUAACUGUUGUGGGAAUUGACGGCAAGCCUUCCAGGCCUCUCAACACUCCCCAAGUCUGGUGUCAAUUAGGCCAGCACUCCUUCCCACAUUCUUUUCUGAUCAUCCCCACUUGUCCAGUUCCCCUGUUAGGCCAAGAUAGCCUAGCAAAAUUGUCUGCCUCCUUAGCUAUUGCUGGGCUACAGCCAUACCUCUUUGCUACCUUCUUCCCUGAACCCAUACCUCACUCAAUGACUCCCCUCAUGUCCCCCUUCCUUAACCCUAGGGUGUGGGACACCACCUCCCCAUCCCUUGCUCACUCACCCCUUGUCAUCCCAUUGAAACAUAACCACCCUUACCCUGCCCCGUGCCGGUACCCUAUCCCACAGCGGGCUUUAAAGGCCUGUUUAAAACCCUAAAGCCUGUUAUCACUAGUCUAUUAUAACAUGGCCUUUUAAUUCCUACAAACUCUCCUGUCCAAAACCAGACAAAUCCUACAGACUAGCCUGAGACCUCCGCCACAUCAAUCAGAUUGUACUUCCCAUACACCUGCUUGUACCAAACCCCUAUACCCUCCUAUCUUCCACAACUCACAAUUCUGUUCUUAACCUCAAAAAUGCUUUUUCCUAAAGCCCAAAUUUCUUCUCCAUCCAUUACCUAUUUCAAUAUAAUCCUUCACCAGCAUACACCUGCUCUCCCUGCCUACCAUAUCCAGUUAAUUUUCCAACCCCCAUCCCCCUCCACUAAACAACAGCUUCUCUCCAUCCUAGGUUUUGUAGGAUACUUUCUCCUCUGAAUACUAGGUUUUGCCUUCCUUACCAAACACUUUAUAAACUUACAAAAGGAAACUUAGCUGACCCCAAAUCCUUCCCCUGUUCUUCCUUUUGUUUGCUGAAGAGGGCCUUAGAAACAGCCCCUACACUAGCACCCCCCAACUCCUCCCAACUUUUUUCCCUUCACAUGGCAGAAGUAAAAGGUUGUGCAGUUGGGGUUUUUACACAAGACCUGGGCCCACGGCCAGUCACCUUUUGUUGAAACAACUCAACCUCACAGUCCCAGGCUGACCGUCAUCUUUACACACCAUGGCCACUGUGGCUGUAACACUCUUAGAAUCCCUCAAAAUUACAGACUAUGCCCCACUUACCCUCUAGAGCUCUCACAACCUCCAAAGUUUAGUUUCCUCUUCACACCUUACACACAUACCCUCCCAUCGCCUCCUCCAACUCUAUUCACUAUUCAUUGAAACCCCCACAGUAAUGAUUGCUCUUGGACCUGACUUCAACCGGCCUCUCACUUAAUACCCAAACAAACCCUGAACCCCACGACUGUAUCUCCGCAAUCCACAUAGCACCCUCUCCACUUCCCCAUAUUUCUUUUUUUCCUAUUCCAGACCCAGACCACACAUGGUUUAUUGAUGGCAGUUCUUCAAAGCCCAGUUGGUUGGCCAAAUCUGCCUAUGCUGUUAUAUCUCGCUCAUCUAUUAUCAAGGCUGCCUCACUCCCCUGAUCCGCCACUUCUCAGCAAACUAAACUAAUCACCCUAACCCUUGCUGUUACUCUUGCCAAGGGACUACACGUUAAUAUUUACACUGAUUCUAAAUAUACCUUCCACAUCCUUCACCACCAUGCUGUUAAAUGUGGAGAAAGAGGUUUCUCAAACACAAGGGUCCUCUAUUACCAAAGCUCCCUUAAUAAAGGCUCUCCUUAAGGCCAUUCUCCUCCCAGCCAAGGCCGGAGUUAUCUGCUGCAGAGAACACCAAAAACUAUCAGAUCCCACUGCCCAAGGAAAUGCCUUAGCCAACAAAACAGCCAAAGAGCAGCAGAUACCUCAGUAUCUCCCCCAAAGGGCUGAUAGUUUUUCUUCUUACCUAUCUCCCCUACCUAUUUUCCCUCCAAAAAUUCAUUUUACCAGUGACUUCCUAGGCAAGGCAAAUGGUUCUUAGAACAUGGAAAGUUCCUUCUCUCUGAAUCACAAGCUCACUCUAGCCUCUCAUCGUUUCAUGAUCACUUCUAUGUACAAUAUAAGCCCCUGGCUAGUCUUUUAAAACCCCCUAUUUAUUUUCCAUCAUGGAAGUCCAUCCUUAAAACAACCACAUCUCAGUGUUCUAUCUGUCACUCUACUACUCCUCAGGGCUUUCUCUCAGAACUCCCUCCAACUUUUUCCUACACAUCAGACCCAUGAAUUUUACCAUACAUAAGAUUGACAAACUUCUAGUUUUGCCUAGGUAGGCAUUUACCCUAUCUCUCACUCCAUCCUUGGCUUCCCUCCCCUUGUUCAUCAGAUGCUUCUCCGGACCCCUCUACCUGCCUGCUCAUACCUAACCUUGUUACUAAAAGUGAAUGGUUACUCAUAGAGACCAAAGGCUUUCUCAUACACCAUGAAAACAAGACCUCUCCUUCCACACAAUUACCCUAUCAAAUCUCACUACAACUUUUAACAGCUGUGGCCCUUGCUGGUUCCCUUGGUAUUUGGGUCCAAAGCCCCAACCCUCUCAGAAAACUUUCUUACCUUUUCGGUUUACACAUCCAGUUCUGUGUAAGCCAAGGACUUUUUUUUCCCUCUGUGAUUCUUCUACUUACAUCUUCCUUCUUAUAAACUGGACAGUCACUUGUACCCUAGUUUUCUUUACUCCCAAAAUUCAGUUUAUCCAUGGAGACAAAAGCCUCCCUAUUCCUCUUGUGAUCCUGACACGACACAAGUGGGUCAUUCCAUUGAUCCCCUUACUUGUAGGGUAGGAACUACUGCUGAAUUCAGCACAGGCACAGCAGGCUUUACUGCUUCAGUUGUAAGUCCUUCCAUAGUCUCUCGAAUGAUUUCUCUGCUGGCAUUGCAGAAUUAAUCACUAUCCCUUCUUCAAGCCCAAGCAAAUUCCCUAGCUGCCAUUGUCCUCCAAAACCACAGAGGUCUUGAUUUACUGAUGGCUAAAAAAGGUCUUUGCCUAUUCCUAAAUGAAGAAUGUUGUUUUUAGGUAAACAAGUCUGGCCUGGUAUAUGAUGCCAUCAGUAGAUUAAAAGACAGAGCCCAGAAGCUCACUAAUCAGGCAGAUGGUUUUCUGGACCUGGCUGGACUGGCUGGAUACUCUAACUGGGUGCUGGGAUUACAGGCUUGAGCCACCGCGCCCAGCCUGGUUGCCCAUUUUUAUGAUUACUAUGCUAAAUAAGGGGUGGAUUAUUCAUGCCUCCCCUUUAUAGACCAUGUAGAGUAACUUCCUGACAUUGCCAUGGCCUUUGUAAACUGUUAUGGCACUGGUGGGAGUGUAGUAGUGAGGACAACUACAGGUCACUUUGCCUACAAGUCACCUCUUUUAAUCUACUGAUGGCAUCAUGUACCAGGCCAGACUUGUUUACAUAAAAACAACAUUCUUCAUUUAGGUAUAGGCAAAAAUAAGCCUGUAAUCCCAGGAUGGCUUCUUCCAAUCCUUAGUCCUCUGAUACCUAUCUUUCUCCUUCUCUUAUUUGGACCCCGUGAUUUCUGAUUAAUCUCUCAAAUCCUACAAAAUAGCAUACAAAUGAUAAGCAAUAUCAGUCAAUAUAACACAUGCAUCUUCUCACAACCCCACAGUAUCACCCCUUGCUCUGAGGUCCUCCUGCAGUCUGAAUUCAUUCCAGUUUUUAGGUUGCUGCACCACCCCUAAUCCUGCUCAAAGAAGCCCUGAGAAACACUGCCCCAUCACCCCUCUGUGCUGGCACUCCGAAUAUUCCACUGCCCUCUAGUCUUUGUUUUUCCUUUAUAUUAGUAAUAUAAAAAGACAGGAAUAUAAACUCUUUUAGGUUGACCAUGCCAAGGACUGCGCGGUAACCUCUGUGACCUGUACAUACUCCUCCAAAGGAGUUCCUGGAACUAGAAAGUCCGAAGUAACUGGCAAACCUAAAAAAGAGAAGAAUGACAAACCCCUGUGGUGCCUAAUUAACUUUGAGACAUUCUUCUAUUGUUUCUUGCCUCAACUGAUAAGGCAACUGGACUUUAUAACUGACCUUGCUCAACUGAUAGGUCAACCUCAUGACUCCAGACCCUACGACACCCUCCCAGCUUGCCAAAAACACCCUGAGCUGUAACUUCUGUAACUCUCCACUGCCUAUCCCAAACCUGUAAAACCAACUCCUAUCCCACUGCCCUCUGCUGACUCUUUUUUUUAGACUCAGCCUGCCUACACCUGGGUGAAUAAACAGCCAUGUUGCUCACACAAAGUCCGUUUGGGGGCUCUCUUCAUUCAGAGCACUUUUUAACACUCCACCCACCCCUUCCUCCCUCCUUUUCAGAGACAGAAUUUGGACUAGAUUGCACUGGCAUAGGAUACUCCUGUCACAGGCAUGAGAACCAGAGCAACUCCAUCUUGAAUAGGAGCUGGGUAAAAUGAUGUUGAGACCUACUGGGCUGCACAGAUGAUUAAGGCUUUCUAAGUCACAAGAUGAGAUAGGUGGUCUGCACAAGAUACAGGUCAUAAAGACCUUGCUGAUAAAACAGGUUGCAGUAAGGAAGCCAGCUAUAACCAAAACCAAGAUGGCCACGAGAGUGAUCUGUAGUUGUCCUCACUGCUACACUCCCACCAGUGCCAUAACAGUUUACAAAGGCCAUGGCAAUGUCAGGAAGUUACUCUAUAUGGUCUAUAAAGGGGAGGCAUGAAUAAUCCACCCCUUAUUUAGCGCAGUAAUUAUAAAAAUGGGCAACCAGGCCAGGCGCGGUGGCUCAAGUCUGUAAUUCCAGCAGUUUGGGAGGCCGAGGCAGGUGGAUCACAAGGUCAAGAAAUCGAGACCAUCCUGGUCAACAUGGUGA
Molecule: non-coding RNA, 6271 nt
Organism: Callithrix jacchus (white-tufted-ear marmoset)
Lineage: Eukaryota; Metazoa; Chordata; Mammalia; Primates; Cebidae
Source: RefSeq, a predicted model, not a curated record